AAAUUGAAAUUGUUUUUCGGUUCAGGAAAAAAAAAGGCCCAAUAACUGGAACGGGUAGACGAAUAGACAUAUAUAGAAGGUGAAUUUCAUCCAAUAUCCCCAUUUCAAGAGCGUUAAUGAAAUAUGCCCACUCCAUUUCAAUCUUUUUUAUUUUACCCUCUUAUUUUUUAAUAUUUCCAAAUUACCCUUUUUAAAUAUAAAAAAAAAAAAUGGAGAUGAAAAAUAUUCUAUUUUUCCCCUAAUGUGGAGCACGAACGAGAAGAGGAAGAGAAAGUGAGAGAGAAUGGCAAAGUAGCUUGGGACGACCAGAAAGUUGUUCAAUAGGAGGAGUGAGUGGAGGAAGGAAGCAUCCGAGUCUCAUCAAUCAGCUCCACCACAUCCUUCCCGGUCUUGGCCUUGGAGUUGCCGCCUUUGGAUACCUGCUCGCAUCAACCAAAUGGUUAUGUUCUUUCUCUUCAGUCUCAAUACGCCAUUUCGAUCUACCCUAAUCCACCUUUCUAGACUGAAGGGGCUUUCACAUUUUCUCUCUCCCUCCCUCUCUCUCUCACAUUCCGAAAAAAUAAAAAUGGCAAGUUUGAGAAGGACGUUGAUGAUUGUCGAUCGACUUCUAAAAUUGAUGGCCGCGAUCCACCGUAGCUCCAUUGCAGCAACAGCAGUUGAGCUUCCUUUUUUGUUCCCAUGGAGACUCUGCUUUGGCCAUUAUUGGGUUGUGUAAAUGUUGGGUUUUAUUGUUUCUAUUCGAACAAUUUCAACUUGCUUGCUAUCGAUCUCUUAGACGAAGAAAGCAAGAGAUGCCUAUUCAUCAAGUAUUUUCUUUUUUAUUUGCUCUGUUUUUUUAUUUAAUUUUUGGAAAUUGGGUUUUGAGUUUUUGGGUUUUGGUGAUGAUGAUCAUGUUUUGAUUUCUUUUUGGAUGGGGAUGGGGUUAGACUACUAUACAGGGGCAGACAACGUGGGUUUCUGGAAUUGGAUUUGGUUCUAAGAAAAUGGGUGGAGGAGCAUAUCCAUUCUAUGGAUGAAAAUGGAAUCAAAGCUCUUUGCCAUGUCUUUUUGACCUAGUAACUAUGCUACUCUUUUGCUUGCUUUCUAUAUUAUAAAUAUGUGUAUAUAUUAGAGGUAAGAUUUAUAUGAGGUAUUUGAUGACAUUGAGAUGCAUAUUCCAUCUUCACAUCAUGUAAAACUUACAAUGUUGAAUUAAUUAUAAAUGCAUAUUAAUUUAAUUGUCUCAGUUUUCAUGGCUAAUGCGUAUAUAAUAUAAGUGCAUUAUGCUUUGGAAGCUUGUGCAAAUCAAUGUUUCAAAGACCCAAAAAAAAAAAAAAAAUCCUGUAUACAAGAAAUAAUGGUCUUGUUUUGUUUUUCUUUUUGACAAAAAAUGAUAAAUUCUAAUGCUAUAUUUGUUUGCAUAUAUCCAUUGUUGUAUGAAUGGUUCUCUUAAUUUCAAAUGAGAGUUAUUAGU
Long non-coding RNA from Ziziphus jujuba (common jujube), 1453 nucleotides. RefSeq lists it as uncharacterized. The record is from RefSeq and is a predicted model, not a curated record. Lineage: Eukaryota; Viridiplantae; Streptophyta; Magnoliopsida; Rosales; Rhamnaceae. The transcript is spliced from 3 exons.